RNAcentral lists this long non-coding RNA (436 nucleotides) under Androctonus crassicauda. The record is from RNAcentral. Lineage: Eukaryota; Metazoa; Arthropoda; Arachnida; Scorpiones; Buthidae.
GCAUAAUGAAAGAUGAAAACAGAAACUAAAUCCUUUGUUUAUCAUUUCUUACUUUGGGCUAUAACUAAUAUUGAAUAAUAUAGCAUAAAAUAAAUUAAUGACUUACAUUAGUAAAAGACAAAAUAAAUUUGAACAUGAAACACAACUAAUAAGAAUAUACAGUGGUACCUCAGUCUACAUCUGCUUUGGAAUAAGUCCAGCUUGGUAUAUGUCCUGUUUGGACAUAAAAAAUUUUUCUCAGCAUAUGAUCUUUGGCAUAACUGACUCACAUGCUAGAACUUGUAUGAGUCAAAAUGAGUCAUGACAGUGCAUGCUAUCCUUAUUUACUUCUCUCAAGAUAAUGCCAUAACUGUGCACAAGUGUCAGUAUGCCAAUUGCUAUCAUUCAGUAAACAACCCAUGCUAUAAUUCUUUGUGAAUUUUCACAUGAUUUUGUG